UACUGGCCUGUCACUCUGCAUCCAUAGCAACUAAACCCAGGUCUGAAAAUUAGAAGACCUGGCUCAUGAAGGGAUGAGAUCUCACAAGAGAUAAUAUCAAUAAUCUGUCUUUUUGGAUGUUCUAUCAGAGAUUACAUUUAUUUUUAAGAAGUAACAUCUAACCUUUCAGAGUUCAAAAAUGAGUUUCUUUUUGUAAUAUAGUAGAGGAGAAAGUUCCGGAAGUGGCAACUUAAUUUGAAUCUAAUUUCAGCAAAAUAAUUGCAGACUGCUUCCAGCUUGAAUGAGCGGUGAGGUAUAGCUCCCAGUAGUUACUUAUUUUAGUAGCACUCCCUCAGGAUGAAUGCUAGCUAUUUUCAGUUGCAUGUGGGAAAACCAAGGGCCCUGCCAAGUUGUGGCAAGUUGGCAUUGUGUGUAUGAGCUGUCAUCUAGGAUGCUUAGUUCCACUCAGUUUCAUUUCUAACUUGCAGUUGGCAUGUGACCUUUUUCUUUGUUCCAUUUAGGGUCCUGAUCACUUCCUUUCUCUGCUGCUUUACCUUCCCACUGAUCUCUACCCCCACAGGCAGCUUUUGGCUGAAUCCAUCUAAUAAUAACAGUGUGAGUGCCAAGUGGGUUGUGUAAAAUCCUUAGGGAGAGAUGUGAAAUGAAGCACAUUGUUCUUCAGGGCUCCUAAGGACCAGAAUGUACCCAUCAACACAAACAAACUAAUAUGCAAUGAAAUUAUAUGUCUCUCUAUAUAAUUUAUGCAGAAUGGAGUAAUGCUGAGAUGGGGCCUUAAAUAGCUCUUGGUAUAUGUGGUAAGUAGCCUCUAAAACAGCUCCCAGUAACCACCACUUCCUGAUAUUCAUGCCUUUGUGUAACCUCCCCUUGAAUGUGGCUUGAUGGACCUGGUGUCUGGCUUUAAACAAAUAGAAUACAGCAAAAGUGAUGGGAUGUCACUUCCAAGAUGGGGUUACAAAAAGCCUCUCGCUCUCUCAGCUGACUGCCAUGUUGUAAGUCACCCAUGGAGAGGCUCUUGUGGCAAAGAUCUGAUGUCUCCAGCCAACAGUCAUGUGAGGAGCCUGAAGGUGAUCCUCCCUCAGCAGAACCUUGAGUUGAUUUUGGUCCUGGCAGACACCUUGGUUACAGCCCAUGAGACCCUGAUCCAGAGGACCACUAAGCUGCAACUGGAUUCCUGAUCCAUAGAAACUGAGCUGCUGCUUCUGCCUGAAACCAGACAACCAGCCUCUUCUCCGCAAGAUAAAGUCCUGCUCACCCUUGACACCUGGCUCAGAUGUGACCUCUGGAAAACCUUCCUAACUCAGUCAGGCAGAGCUCCUGUCCAUGGCCUUGGGGUCUCCACAAGGCUUUGCCUCUGCCUGUGCUGUCUUCAUUGGCAGGAUUGCUAGGCGUAACUCCUGGAGGAGAGCACCCUCGGGUGGCCCCACGGCAGGGGCUGACGCUGCCUGGAGGAGGACUUGUUUUCCUGCAUGUGUGGAAGACUCUUCAGCCAGCCAGGUGGAACAGUAACUGAUUGGCCUCGCCUCUCCCUUAGGUGAUCCUCACCCUUCUUUGAUUGUCAUCUCUCUCAGCAGUUUUGUAGCAGGCAAAUAAUGUUUUCUUAUUUGUUCAAAAAUCUUAAAUCUAGGGGUGUAAGGCCUGUCAACUGGUUUAAUU
This is a long non-coding RNA of Lemur catta (Ring-tailed lemur), 1653 nucleotides long. RefSeq lists it as uncharacterized. The transcript has 3 exons. The record is from RefSeq and is a predicted model, not a curated record. NCBI's taxonomy places the organism in Eukaryota, Metazoa, Chordata, Mammalia, Primates, Lemuridae.